CCCCUUGUCAGACUUGGGAAGCGCAGUAACUGACAUACAGUAAUGACUAAUCGAUUAUCUGUUUAGAAUAUGUGUGUGUGUAGUUCCAAAAACGAUUUAGAGCGACCGGCAGAGUGCUCCAGGCAGAAAAUCGUUCCCACAGGAACAAGAGUCUGCAGGGAGAGGAGUACCAGCUCCAGUGGACCGCUGACUGCGAGAGGGAGGGACUCAGCCGAGGAUGGCAGCGCAGUUCUGCUCGGGACAUCUGUCCUGGGAGCCCGAAGGGGCGAAGAGUGCCUUCGUGGGCACUGAGCUAAGGACUGACAGAUCGACAGAGAUGUCCCAGCAUCCUCGAGGGUGCUGGGCUGCGCUUGAUGUUCCCAGCGAGGAAGUCCUGAGUUGCCACUGGACCUUUAGCCAUUUCCAUUACUUUGGACGUAGAAUCUCAGACCCCUCAAGAGGAUGGCAUGAAUGAUUAAGCUUUCUGUACAGAUGCCUGAUUAUGCUCUGUGGUCGUGAUACUGGUCCACUGCAUUCUCUCCAGGGUCUGAAAUGCUUCUGCACAGAUCACAUGAUCUCCAUGAUGAUAUAACAGAAAGGCUGAAAAGACCUCAUGGUACAGUUGGCCAGAGAGAUGACUGGACAAUCGAUCUCAAAGUGGCGAAGAUCUGGAUUUCUAGACUUCCCUGAAUUCUCCAACUUCUCACAAGCAAGCAAAUGAUCCGAAAGGAGGACUGAGUCCAAAUAUGCAAACAGACAAUGAUUGGACCACAUGUAAACUGAGAAAAUCUGACCCACACCUCUGCAGGAACCAGUCCAGAAUGGUCAGGGCUGGUCCAGUUUUCCCACUUUUGUUAUUUCCAAAUCAGGACCAACCAGAGAAAGCCAAGUAUAUUGCCAAAGCCAAUCUCAUAAGAUGCCUGGCUUCUAGGUAGCCUACCUCCAGAUUCCCCGUGCCAACAACCUCCAGUCACAACAUGCCUGAAGCCUCCCUCCCUCACCUCCUUUUUAAACUAUAAAUCUUUUCCCCUCCUCUGCCUGCUUUACAUUUAUUUUAAAAGCAAGUGAUGGUGGUUGACUCCCUCGCUAUAGCAAGUCCAGAAUAAACAACCUCUGUUCAUUUUCAUUUGGAUGGUCUUUACUUGCUUCUGUGAAACUAAAGAUUAUAUGUAAUUGGACUUCUCUUAAAAAAAUACAAU
Mustela erminea (ermine) is the source of this 1178-nucleotide long non-coding RNA. RefSeq lists it as uncharacterized. The transcript is spliced from 3 exons. Lineage: Eukaryota; Metazoa; Chordata; Mammalia; Carnivora; Mustelidae. The record is from RefSeq and is a predicted model, not a curated record.